Zingiber officinale is the source of this 690-nucleotide long non-coding RNA. RefSeq lists it as uncharacterized. The transcript has 2 exons. NCBI's taxonomy places the organism in Eukaryota, Viridiplantae, Streptophyta, Magnoliopsida, Zingiberales, Zingiberaceae. The record is from RefSeq and is a predicted model, not a curated record.
UCCAACGCCGAACUCCAUCUUCCCCGAGCUCGACACCGCCGACUCCCCCUUCUCUCGGUUCCGGCCGAUCCACCGCCGCCCCUCUCCAGCCGACGAUCUCUCCUAUGGAUGAGCUUCCCCGGACGUCGUCGGCCUCACCUCCUCACGCGAGCACCACCGCCGCGGGUCUCCUUUCCUCCUCGCACAGGCACCAUAGCCGGCGAUCUCUCCCUCUCUUGAGCCGCAGUCGCUAGCCAUGUUGGGAGCCGCCGUCACACCCUUCAGUUAUGCCAAGCCCGGUGACCGAUCCACCUCUCCAUCUUCACCGCGUCGUGCCCUAGCUAGGAUCGCCGAUGUCGCUGGUCGUUGCGAGAGUCGCGAAUCUCGUCUCCCACCCCACAGCCACUGCUGACCACUGGAAAAGAAGAGGCAAGCUUCUACACCCUCAUAGCUUCAUCCACAGUCGAUUGCCGUUGUUACUCAUCGCUAGAGGAGCUAUAGGUAACAGGUAGAUGAGUCAUGGAUGCUUGGAGAGGUGUCGGCCGCCAGUCCUAAGUCCCACGUCACACUCGAGGAUAGUUUUGUUUUGUUUUAUUAUUGUUUGGAUGGUAUGUUGAUUUUGUGUAUUUUGCUUUUCAAUGAGUCGAUGUGAAUUUUUGGAGUCUAGUCUGGUGGUUGCAGACAUUUUUGUUAGUGCCGUUGUUGGUCUUG